RNAcentral lists this ribosomal RNA (449 nucleotides) under Cervus elaphus (red deer). RNAcentral's name for it is "partial large subunit ribosomal RNA". It matches the Rfam family "Bacterial large subunit ribosomal RNA", at positions 1970 to 2594 of the family's 2925-position model. The record is from RNAcentral. Lineage: Eukaryota; Metazoa; Chordata; Mammalia; Artiodactyla; Cervidae.
UGUUCUCUAAAUAGGGACUUGUAUGAAUGGCCACACGAGGGUUUUACUGUCUCUUACUUCCAAUCAGUGAAAUUGACCUUCCCGUGAAGAGGCGGGAAUAUAUUAAUAAGACGAGAAGACCCUAUGGAGCUUUAACUACUUAGCCCAAAAGAAACAAAUUUCAUUGCUAAGGAAACAACAACACUCUUUAUGGACUAACAGCUUUGGUUGGGGUGACCUCGGAGAACAAGAAAUCCUCCGAGCGAUUUUAAAGACUAGACCUACAAGUCGAAUCACACAAUCGUUUAUUGAUCCAAAAAAUUGAUCAACGGAACAAGUUACCCUAGGGAUAACAGCGCAAUCCUAUUCAAGAGUCCAUAUCGACAAUAGGGUUUACGACCUCGAUGUUGGAUCAGGACAUCCCGAUGGUGCAACCGCUAUCAAAGGUUCGUUUGUUCAACGAUUAAAGU